AGAUUGAACGCUGGCGGCAUGCCUUACACAUGCAAGUCGAACGGUAGAGUAGCAAUACUCGAGAGUGGCGAACGGGUGAGUAAUAUAUCGGAACGUGCCCAGUCGUGGGGGAUAACGUAGAGAAAUUUACGCUAAUACCGCAUACGAUCUAAGGAUGAAAGCGGGGGAUUCGCAAGAACCUCGCGCGAUUGGAGCGGCUGAUAUCAGAUUAGGUUGUUGGUGAGGUAAAAGCUCACCAAGCCGACGAUCUGUAGCUGGUUUGAGAGAACGACCAGCCACACUGGGACUGAGACACCGG
RNAcentral lists this ribosomal RNA (298 nucleotides) under uncultured soil bacterium. RNAcentral describes it as "partial 16S ribosomal RNA". It matches the Rfam family "Bacterial small subunit ribosomal RNA", at positions 26 to 330 of the family's 1533-position model. The record is from RNAcentral.